GGAGUAGGCUGCAGCAAGAAGAAGCUUCUAACUUCCCUCUUAAGCGGUUUGAAUCCGUUUCUACUCUU
RNAcentral lists this transfer RNA (68 nucleotides) under Heterocarpus ensifer. Its description in RNAcentral is "tRNA-Ser". The record is from RNAcentral. RNAcentral also lists the same sequence under 2 other names. Lineage: Eukaryota; Metazoa; Arthropoda; Malacostraca; Decapoda; Pandalidae.